GUGAGGAAUUUUCCGCAAUGGGCGAAAGCCUGACGGAGCAAUGCCGCGUGGAGGAUGACAGCCUGUGGGUCGUAAACUCCUUUUCUCAGAAAAGAAGAUCUGACGGUAUCUGAGGAAUAAGCAUCGGCUAACUCCGUGCCAGCAGCCGCGGUAAUACGGAGGAUGCAAGCGUUAUCCGGAAUGAUUGGGCGUAAAGCGUCUGUAGGUGGUUUAUUAAGUCUACUGUUAAAGAUCAGGGCUUAACCCUGAGCCGGCAGUGGAAACUAAUAAGCUUGAGUACGGUAGGGGCAGAGGGAAUUCCCGGUGUAGCGGUGAAAUGCGUAGAGAUCGGGAAGAACACCAAUGGCGAAAGCACUCUGCUGGGCCGAAACUGACACUGAGAGACGAAAGCUAGGGGAGCGAAUGGG
RNAcentral lists this ribosomal RNA (407 nucleotides) under uncultured bacterium. RNAcentral's name for it is "bacterial SSU rRNA". It matches the Rfam family "Bacterial small subunit ribosomal RNA", at positions 354 to 776 of the family's 1533-position model. The record is from RNAcentral.